CCUUCGGGGGACAAGUAGAGUGGCGCACGGGUGAGUAACACGUAGUAAUCUACCUUUGGAUGGGGAAUUAACAAUCGGAAACGAUUGCUAAUACCGCAUAAUGCAGCGGCGCCUAAUGGUGACAGUUGUUAAAGCGGGGGAUCGAAAGACCUCGCGUCUAAAGAGGAGCCUGCGGGGAUUACUAGUUGGUAAGGUAAUGGCUUACCAAGGUACGAUCCGUAACCGGCCUUGAGAGGGCGGUCGGUCACACUGACACUGACCAUACGGGUCAGACUCCUACGGGAAGGCAGCAGUCGGGAAUUUUGGGCAAUGGGCGAAAGCCUGACCCAGCAACGCCGGUGAAAGGAUGAAUUCCCUCGGGAUGUAAACUUCGCAAGAACGGGAAGAAUAAGUAGGGGACAAUACCCCCUAUGAUGACGGUACCGUUUGUAAGCUCCGGCUAACUCCGUGCCAGCAGCCGCGGUAAUACGGGGGGAGCAAGCGUUGUUCGGAUUUACUGGGCGUAAAGGGCGCCGUAGGCGGGCCAGCAAAAAGUCAGUUGUGAAAUCUCCGAGCUUAACUCG
RNAcentral lists this ribosomal RNA (563 nucleotides) under uncultured bacterium. RNAcentral describes it as "bacterial SSU rRNA". It matches the Rfam family "Bacterial small subunit ribosomal RNA", at positions 76 to 616 of the family's 1533-position model. The record is from RNAcentral.